AACAACUCACCUGCCGAAUGAAUUAGCCCUGAAAAUGGAUGACGCUAAAGCGGGCAGCCGACACCAUGUCGUCUGAUCAAAGUGGUCUCAGAUGAGUAGGAGGGCGUGGCGGUCGACAGGAAGCGUCGGUGCGAACCGUCGUGAAUCGGCCGCUAGUGCAGAUCUUGGUGGUAGUAGCAAAUAUUCAAGUGUGAUCCUUGAAGGACGAAGCGGGGAAGGGUUCCACGCGAACAUUGAUUGAGCGUGGGUGAGUCGUUCCUAAGCCGAGUGGUCAUAGCUAAUUACCGGCGAAAGGGAAGCAGGUUGACAUUCCUGCACGCGGAUGUGGAGGCGGUGACGCCGUAUUGAGGUGAUGAAGUUGGCGGUAGCUCUGGGCAGAGUUUUCUUUUCUGUUUAACCGUCUUUGCGCGCUGUGUGGAAUCCGCUUGUCGGGAGAAACACGCGUGCUUGGGCAUAGCGCCGGGUCUUUUCCGGCGUCCAGUUCGCUACCGACAGCCCUUGAAAAAUUACCUACUGACAAUAUCCACGCCGCGACGUACCGAUAUCCGCAUCAGGUCCCCAAGGUGAACAGCCUCUGUGCAAUAUGGGUAAU
RNAcentral lists this ribosomal RNA (592 nucleotides) under Corallophila huysmansii. Its description in RNAcentral is "eukaryotic LSU rRNA". It matches the Rfam family "Eukaryotic large subunit ribosomal RNA", at positions 1284 to 1899 of the family's 3401-position model. Lineage: Eukaryota; Rhodophyta; Florideophyceae; Ceramiales; Ceramiaceae. The record is from RNAcentral.